This 638-nucleotide ribosomal RNA is filed under the name uncultured bacterium. Its description in RNAcentral is "bacterial SSU rRNA". It matches the Rfam family "Bacterial small subunit ribosomal RNA", at positions 81 to 718 of the family's 1533-position model. The record is from RNAcentral.
CAAUUGCCGGCGACCGGCGCACGGGUGAGUAACGCGUAUCCAACCUUCCGUACACUCAGGGAUAGCCUUUCGAAAGAAAGAUUAAUACCUGAUGGUAUGAUGAGAUUGCAUGAUAGCAUCAUUAAAGAUUUAUCGGUGUACGAUGGGGAUGCGUUCCAUUAGGUAGUAGGCGGGGUAACGGCCCACCUAGCCAACGAUGGAUAGGGGUUCUGAGAGGAAGGUCCCCCACAUUGGAACUGAGACACGGUCCAAACUCCUACGGGAGGCAGCAGUGAGGAAUAUUGGUCAAUGGACGAGAGUCUGAACCAGCCAAGUAGCGUGAAGGAUGAAGGUCCUACGGAUUGUAAACUUCUUUUAUAAGGGAAUAAACCCUCCCACGUGUGGGAGCUUGUAUGUACCUUAUGAAUAAGCAUCGGCUAACUCCGUGCCAGCAGCCGCGGUAAUACGGAGGACGCGAGCGCUAUCCGGAUUUAUUGGGUUUAAAGGGAGCGCAGACGGGUCGUUAAGUCAGCUGUGAAAGUUUGGGGCUCAACCUUAAAAUUGCAGUUGAUACUGGCGUCCUUGAGUGCGGUUGAGGUGUGCGGAAUUCGUGGUGUAGCGGUGAAAUGCUUAGAUAUCACGAAGAACUCCGAUUGCGA